RNAcentral lists this unclassified non-coding RNA (379 nucleotides) under fungal sp. RNAcentral describes it as "partial internal transcribed spacer region". The stretch from base 1 to 64 matches the Rfam family "Eukaryotic small subunit ribosomal RNA", at positions 1768 to 1831 of the family's 1831-position model. Lineage: Eukaryota; Fungi. The record is from RNAcentral.
CUCAUUUAGAGGAAGUAAAAGUCGUAACAAGGUUUCCGUAGGUGAACCUGCGGAAGGAUCAUUAUCACGUUAUCCACGUUAUCAACCAAUAUGUGCACUGUCUUGUUUACCUUUAAGAAUUAAGCUGGAUAGACCAUCAUUCAUUGUGUGAUUUUGAAUGACUAUCUACUAUUGAGUUUGUUCUACAAACUCAUGAAUAUGGCUUUGUUCUUGAAGUGUAUUUAAAUCACACUUCUAACUAUUAACCACUUGAACCUUUUUUAAUUAUUCUUUGUUUGAUCUGAUUUGUUUCUUACUCGAUUUGGCUUGUUCAAAUUGAGAAGAAAUUAUCAUACGAAACAAUAAAGAACAACUCUUAGCAACGGAUAUCUUGGUUCUC